RNAcentral lists this transfer RNA (74 nucleotides) under Candidatus Dojkabacteria bacterium. RNAcentral describes it as "tRNA-Ala". It matches the Rfam family "tRNA". From Rfam's summary of the family: Transfer RNA (tRNA) molecules are approximately 80 nucleotides in length. Their secondary structure includes four short double-helical elements and three loops (D, anti-codon, and T loops). The record is from RNAcentral.
GGGGCUGUAGCACAGUUGGUUAAUGCGCUUCAUUUGCAAUGAAGAGAUCGGGGGUUCGAAUCCCCCCAGCUCCA